GAUGAACGCUGGCGGCGUGCUUAACACAUGCAAGUCGAACGAUGAAGCCCAGCUUGCUGGGUGGAUUAGUGGCGAACGGGUGAGUAACACGUGAGUAACCUGCCCUUGACUCUGGGAUAAGCCCGGGAAACUGGGUCUAAUACCGGAUAGGAGCGCCUGUCUCAUGACGGGUGUUGGAAAGAUUUUUCGGUCAUGGAUGGACUCGCGGCCUAUCAGCUUGUUGGUGAGGUAAUGGCUCACCAAGGCGACGACGGGUAGCCGGCCUGAGAGGGUGACCGGCCACACUGGGACUGAGACACGGCCCAGACUCCUACGGGAGGCAGCAGUGGGGAAUAUUGCACAAUGGGCGGAAGCCUGAUGCAGCGACGCCGCGUGAGGGAUGACGGCCUUCGGGUUGUAAACCUCUUUCAGUAGGGAAGAAGCGAAAGUGACGGUACCUGCAGAAGAAGCACCGGCUAACUACGUG
RNAcentral lists this ribosomal RNA (466 nucleotides) under uncultured bacterium. RNAcentral's name for it is "partial 16S ribosomal RNA". It matches the Rfam family "Bacterial small subunit ribosomal RNA", at positions 28 to 507 of the family's 1533-position model. The record is from RNAcentral.